This is an RNA transcript of Populus trichocarpa (black cottonwood), 2908 nucleotides long. RefSeq lists it as uncharacterized. The transcript has 3 exons. NCBI's taxonomy places the organism in Eukaryota, Viridiplantae, Streptophyta, Magnoliopsida, Malpighiales, Salicaceae. The record is from RefSeq and is a predicted model, not a curated record.
UUAACACAAUUCUCUAAACAGCUUUCAAAGGCGGAAGCGAUUGGAGAAAACACAAAAAAGAAGAGACAAGAGAAAAGAAAACUUACAACCGUAGCUGAGAGAGAGAGAGAGAGAGGCCUGCGUGCUGGUCUGCUACAAAGAUAAAGCAGAAAAUCUCCAUGGCUGGUGAGAAAAUGGAUUACGAAGAAGAGGAGAAGAUGCAAUAUCAGGGAAGUGGUGCCAUUCCUGCGCUUGCAGAGGAAGAGAUGGGAGAAGAUGAUGAGUAUGACGAUCUAUACAAUGAUGUCAAUGUUGGGGAGAAUUUCUUGCAGAUGCAUGGUUCGGAAGCGCCAGCCCCACCUGCUACAGCGGGGAAUGGAGGAUUCCAAACUCGAAAUGCUCAUGAAUCAAGAGUUGAAACUGGGGGUUCACAAGCGCUUGCUAUCACUGGGGGUGGGCCUGCAGUUGAAGGGAUAUAUUCUAAUGCUAAGGCUCAUUUUCCAGAGCAGAAGCAGGUGGCAGUUGCUGUUGAAGCACAGGAUGUAGGGCCUGUUGAUGGAUCUUCUGUUGCUCAGAAAGGGAGGGUUAUAGAGAUGAGUCAUGAUGUUCAAGUGCGAAACAUGGGAUUUCAGAAAUCAACACCAGUGCCCCCAGGUAUCGGGGUUGAUCCUUCUGAUAUGAGUAGAAAAAAUGCUAACGAGCCUGAACCUUUGCCAAUUACUGGCAGUGCAGGUCCUCGAGGUGCUCCACAAAUGCAAGUUAAUCAAAUGCAUAUGAGUGCAGAUGUUAAUCGCCCUGUGGUUAAUGAAAAUCAGGUCCGGCCACCUGUAGAGAAUGGUUCUACCACGCUUUAUGUUGGAGAAUUACAUUGGUGGACCACUGAUGCAGAGCUUGAAAGUUUUGCAUCUCAAUUUGGAAGGGUCAAAGAGAUUAAAUUCUUUGAUGAGAGGGCUAGUGGUAAGUCUAAAGGCUAUUGCCAAGUUGACUUCUAUGAAGCAGCUGCUGCAGCAGCAUGCAAAGAGGGAAUGAAUGGUCAUGUUUUCAAUGGACGACCUUGUGUUGUGGCUUUUGCUUCUCCACAAACACUAAAGCAGAUGGGGGCUUCUUACAUGAACAAAACCCAGGGUCAGCCUCAGACUCAGUCUCAAGGAAGGGGGUCUAUGAAUGAUGGUGCGGGAAGAGGUGGUAAUGCGAACUUUCAAAGUGGAGAUGGAGGAAGGAACUAUGGAAGAGGUGCUUGGGGAAGGGGUGGGCAGGGAAUUCUCAAUCGAGGACCUGGGGGUGGACCAAUGAGGGGAAGAGGUGCCAUGGGUCCCAAAAACAUGGCUGGGAAUGUUGCUGGAGUUGGAAGCGGUGCCAAUGGUGGAGGGUAUGGACAAGGCCUUGCAGGUCCUGCAUUUGGUGGGCCUGCCGGUGGAAUGAUGCCUCCCCAAGGUAUGAUGGGUGCUGGAUUUGAUCCACUAUACAUGGGACGAGGGGGUGGUUAUGGGGGUUUUGCUGGUCCUGGUUUUCCUGGCAUGCUUCCUUCAUUUCCUGCUGUUAAUUCAAUGGGACUUGCUGGGGUGGCUCCACAUGUCAACCCAGCUUUCUUUGCCCGAGGAAUGGCACCUAAUGGGAUGGGAAUGAUGGUUUCCUCUGGAAUGGAUGGACCGAAUCCAGGAAUGUGGUCUGACACAAGCAUGGGAGGAUGGGGAGAAGAGCAUGGUCGAAGGACAAGGGAGUCAAGUUAUGAUGGCGAUGAGGGUGCUUCUGAAUAUGGAUAUGGAGAGGGGAACCAUGAGAAGGGAGCUCGGUCAAGCGGUGCCUCUAGAGAAAAGGAACGGGGUUCUGAGCGUGACUGGUCAGGUAAUUCUGAUAGGCGUCACCGUGAUGAGAGGGAACAAGACUGGGACAGGCCAGAAAGGGAGCACAGGUACAAGGAAGAGAAAGAUAGUUACCGUGGCCAUCGGCAAAGGGAGCGUGACUCGGGUUAUGAGGAUGAUCGGGAUAGAGGGCACUCUUCUUCAAGAGCUCGGAGCAGAUCCCGUGCGGCUCCAGAAGAAGAUUACAGGUCUCGAACAAGGGAUGUAGACUAUGGCAAGAGGAGACGCCUACCAUCAGAGUGACAACACUAUGCUAUUCAUCCUCCUAGGAUGGUGCAGAGGGUGUCUUCUUGGGAGAGGAAGGAGUGGACUGGGCAACUCUCUGUUUUCAUGAUUGAUCAAUUUGUGAUGUCUGGGGAAGAUGUGUUAGAUUGAGCAGCUUCAUUGGUUCCUUCCAUAAUGGUUUUCGACUGCAAAGUUUGCAAAAGAAGCCUUGAUAUUUUUGGCUCUCUUUCUUUCCUCAAGCAUCAUUUAGGAAUCUUCAAAUAAUGCUCCUGCGAUAAUAUGUUUAGAAUGAGUUGUAUUUGUGGAGCUGUAGAAUAUAGUAUGGGAUGUCUGUGACAAGUUUUGGGAUGUGAGCAUCAUGUUUGUAUUUUGUAAAUCACUAGACACCACUCCCUUCUGUAAAUGAAUAUAUGUAUUAGGUCCAUAGCAUAGCCUCCUCACUUGUUUAUUUGACCAUAGCUCUUCUUUGAGCUUGUAAAAAGCCUUGUACUGAUGAUGAGGCUCUUUUUUGUACAUAUUUGAUUGCCUGCAAUUCGUCAUCCUAUCUGAUGUCAGAAGGGUCAGAGAUGAGCUAAGGCUGUAUAAUGAUGAGUAGCCGUUUCCACUGUAACAAAGUAGAAUCUAGCUUUUUUUCCCCCCAGAAUUGAGUUUAUGUCAUCAGUUCCUUGUAUAAUGUAGUUCUGAUGAACCUUUUGUUGUAUAUACCCUUCUUUUCUGGUUUUUCAUUAGGAUGUAGAGUUUUUCAUAAGAUGUUUAUUAGAUUUUCGGUCUUCAAUAUUCUUGUAAUUUGUAUACAAGGACAGGCACAGAUCUUGAAGGUGCACUCUCAGUGUUUUGAUGCG